Molecule: ribosomal RNA, 293 nt
Filed under: uncultured Alteromonas sp.
Lineage: Bacteria; Pseudomonadati; Pseudomonadota; Gammaproteobacteria; Alteromonadales; Alteromonadaceae
Description: partial 16S ribosomal RNA
Rfam family: Bacterial small subunit ribosomal RNA
Source: RNAcentral
GUGCCAGCAGCCGCGGUAAUACGGAGGGUGCGAGCGUUAAUCGGAAUUACUGGGCGUAAAGCGCACGCAGGCGGUUUGUUAAGCUAGAUGUGAAAGCCCCGGGCUCAACCUGGGAUGGUCAUUUAGAACUGGCAGACUAGAGUCUUGGAGAGGGGAGUGGAAUUCCAGGUGUAGCGGUGAAAUGCGUAGAUAUCUGGAGGAACAUCAGUGGCGAAGGCGACUCCCUGGCCAAAGACUGACGCUCAUGUGCGAAAGUGUGGGUAGCGAACAGGAUUAGAUACCCGUGUAAGAUG